UACGUAGGGACCGAGCGUUGUCCGGAAUCAUUGGGCGUAAAGAGCGUGUAGGCGGCCUGUUAAGUCUUGCGUGAAAUCUCGGGGCUCAACCCCGAGCGGUCGUGAGAAACUGGCGGGCUAGAGUGCGGGAGAGGAGAGUGGAAUUCCUGGUGUAGCGGUGAAAUGCGCAGAUAUCAGGAGGAACACCGGUGGCGAAGGCGGGACUCUGGACCGAUACUGACGCUGAGGAGCGAAAGCGUGGGGAGCGAACAGG
This 253-nucleotide ribosomal RNA is filed under the name uncultured bacterium. RNAcentral describes it as "partial 16S ribosomal RNA". It matches the Rfam family "Bacterial small subunit ribosomal RNA", at positions 524 to 776 of the family's 1533-position model. The record is from RNAcentral.